ACCAUAGCCCUGGAAACUGGUGUCCAGAAUGUAUCCACAGAGCAGGAACAGCAUGGGAAGGGCCAUUCUGGGAUUCCCUACACUGCCCUGCCAAGAUGUCUGGCUUCCUCCCACAUAAGCCAGAGGAGAUUGCAGUUUCCCUCCAUUGUUUCUACUGCAACA
RNAcentral lists this small RNA (162 nucleotides) under Gopherus agassizii (Agassiz's desert tortoise). Its description in RNAcentral is "TUC338 (ENSGAGG00000000518.1)". The record is from RNAcentral. Lineage: Eukaryota; Metazoa; Chordata; Testudines; Testudinidae.